UACAGAGGGGGCAAGCGUUGUCCGGAAUUACUGGGCGUACAGGGUGCGCAGGCGGCCGGUUAUGUGCCGAGUGACAAGUCCGCGCUUAACGCGGAAGGGUCUCGGUAGACAGGCAGGCUAGAGGCCUUGAGAGGGAAGUGGAAUGCCCGGUGGAGCGGUGAAAUGCGUAGAGAUCGGGCGGAACACCAGGGGCGCAGGCGGCUUCCUGGCAAGGACCUGACGCUGAGGCACGAAAGCGUGGGGAGCAAACGGG
Molecule: ribosomal RNA, 253 nt
Filed under: uncultured bacterium
Lineage: Bacteria
Description: partial 16S ribosomal RNA
Rfam family: Bacterial small subunit ribosomal RNA
Source: RNAcentral